CCUACGGGGGGCAGCAGUGAGGAAUCUUCCACAAUGGACGAAAGUCUGAUGGAGCGACACCGCGUGAAGGAUGACGCCUUAUUCGGGUGUAAACUUCUGUUCUGAGGGACGAAACUUUUGACGGUACCUCAGGAGAAAGCACCGGCUAAUUCCGUGCCAGCAGCCGCGGUAAGACGGAAGGUGCAAGCGUUACUCGGAAUUACUGGGCGUAAAGCGUCCGCAGGCUUCUUUGUCAGUCUGGUGUAAAAGCACGGAGCUCAACUCCGUGUCCGUGUCGGAAACUGCAGAGAUAGAGUCAUUCAGAGGCAUCUGGAAUGCCGUGUGUAGGGGUAAUAUCCGUUGAUCCACGGUAGAACGCCAAAAGCGAAAGCAGGAUGCUGGGGAUGUACUGACGCUCAGGGACGGAAGCGUGGGGAGCGAAGGGGAUUAGAUACCCGAGUAGUC
Molecule: ribosomal RNA, 444 nt
Filed under: uncultured bacterium
Lineage: Bacteria
Description: bacterial SSU rRNA
Rfam family: Bacterial small subunit ribosomal RNA
Source: RNAcentral